GACGAACGCUGGCGGCGUGCUUAACACAUGCAAGUCGAACGCAGUGGCGAACGGGUGAGUAACGCGUAUUCAACCUGCCCUUCAGAGGGGAACAACAGUUGGAAACGACUACUAAUACCGCAUAUUGACGAAGGGGCUUGCGUCUGAUUAGUUAGUUGGAUGGGUAACGGCCCACCAAGGCGAUGAUCAGUAACCGGACUGAGAGGAUGGACGGCCACAUUGGGACUGAGACACGGCCCAGACUCCUACGGGAGGCAGCAGUGGGGAAUCUUCCGCAAUGGACGAAAGUCUGAAGGAGCAACGCCGCGUUAGUGAUGACGGCCUUCGGGUUGUAAAGCUCUGUUAAUCGGGACGCGGUACCGGAAUAGAAAGCCACGGCUAACUACGUGCCAGCAGCCGCGGUAAUAC
This 408-nucleotide ribosomal RNA is filed under the name uncultured bacterium. Its description in RNAcentral is "partial 16S ribosomal RNA". It matches the Rfam family "Bacterial small subunit ribosomal RNA", at positions 28 to 526 of the family's 1533-position model. The record is from RNAcentral.